RNAcentral lists this ribosomal RNA (468 nucleotides) under uncultured bacterium. RNAcentral's name for it is "partial 16S ribosomal RNA". It matches the Rfam family "Bacterial small subunit ribosomal RNA", at positions 28 to 507 of the family's 1533-position model. The record is from RNAcentral.
GACGAACGAGGGAGGAGGGAGGAACACAUGCAAGUCGAACGGAAAGGCCCUGCUUUUGUGGGGUGCUCGAGUGGCGAACGGGUGAGUAACACGUGAGUAACCUGCCCUUGACUUUGGGAUAACUUCAGGAAACUGGGGCUAAUACCGGAUAGGAGCUCCUGCUGCAUGGUGGGGGUUGGAAAGUUUCGGCGGUUGGGGAUGGACUCGCGGCUUAUCAGCUUGUUGGUGGGGUAGUGGCUUACCAAGGCUUGGACGGUACGCCGGCCUGAGAGGGUGACCGGCCACAUUGGGACUGAGAUACGGCCCAGACUCCUACGGGAGGCAGCAGUGGGGAAUAUUGCACAAUGGGCGGAAGCCUGAUGCAGCAACGCCGCGUGCGGGAUGACGGCUUUCGGGUUGUAAACCGCUUUCGCCUGUGACGAAGCGUGAGUGACGGUAAUGGGUAAAGAAGCACCGGCUUACUACGUC